GCCCCCAUAGCUCAGGUGGAUAGAGCACAGGAUUCCUAAUCCUGGUUUGCGCAUGUUCGAGUCAUGCUGGGGGCACCA
Molecule: transfer RNA, 78 nt
Filed under: Bacteroidia bacterium
Lineage: Bacteria; Pseudomonadati; Bacteroidota; Bacteroidia
Description: tRNA-Arg
Rfam family: tRNA
About the family: Transfer RNA (tRNA) molecules are approximately 80 nucleotides in length. Their secondary structure includes four short double-helical elements and three loops (D, anti-codon, and T loops).
Source: RNAcentral